RNAcentral lists this long non-coding RNA (225 nucleotides) under Gallus gallus (chicken). Lineage: Eukaryota; Metazoa; Chordata; Aves; Galliformes; Phasianidae. The record is from RNAcentral.
UGCUGACAGAAAAUACUACACAGACAGAAAUGGACCAGACCGUAGGGUGCCUCAAAUAAGAAAAAAAAUGAUGAUUUUCUUCUUUCUGAGGACAACUUAUCCCAGCUGAUACACUGAUUUCACCCACAUGUACUUGCAAGAUGACAGGAUAAUAUGAACUGACUACUGUUUGGACUACUCAGAUAUGGUCAAGGAAAAAGACUUGGUACGAUUAGAAGAACAAAG